CCUAUGAAAGUAGCAUAUGUACUCAAUCAAAACCAAUCAGUUACAGAGGAACUGCUGAGUGAGAUGAAAAAAGUUCGAGAUUUUUACCGAGGGACUGAUGACUGGAUAAGCUUCAAUCAUUCCUGGCAAUCAUCAAGCAAAUAUAUAGACAAACUCAAGGAAUCAUUGAGCAGAAAACUACCUGCUGAUCAAAUGGAUAGUAGAACACUGCUGGAUUUUGUAGAACACCUAGUUCUGAACAAUUAAUGGUUAACUUGGAAUAAGUUAUAAACCAAAAGAUAUUUUUCACAAAGAAAUGUACAUAAUCUUGGAAUUGGACUGUGGUGGAUUGACUACAUAUGAAAAAAGGCAUUAAAUUUAACAUGUACAAAGAAACUGUUCUAAGUGAUGAAAUUAUGAUUUUUUUUUUAAAUUUGUUGAACAAAAGGUUUGGUUCUGAUAUUUUCGUGGAUAGAGACAGAAAUCGUAUUUUCAUGAUGACUUUAUUUUCUAGUUUUAUUAUUUUACAAGUUUUAUGACUUUUUCACCAAAAUCUUACAACUGAAAUUGAUAGAAAGUUAUAAUGAAAUGUGAAGGACUUGCAUUUAUUUUUACCAUGAAGAUUUUUGAUAAAAAGUGCUGCGUGCACUUAAAGAUUUAUAGAUGGGCAUUUAAGGAAAAUUGGUUGUAAGCACAAAGCAACAAUGUAUUUUAUUGAUUGACAUGUCUCUAAGAUUUUAUUUUCUGAUUUAACUUUGUACAAAUAUCAUUAGUGGGUAUAGAAAGCUGCUUUAACUAGCCAGUGGCAAUAAUAGCAAAUGGGAAGGCAAUAAUACUAUAACUCAGUAAUAAAAUUAAGUCAGCAAUAAUUAUAGUGAUAAAAAGUAUGCUGCUCUGCUUUGUAGAUUUUUUUAGAAUGUGACAAUAAAAAUUGUUAUAAGAAAACAUGAAAUUACCAAUUUUGUUUGAAAAAAAACGUGUCUAAGGAUUAAGGAUUACAAAAAUGGUAUAGGGUAAGUUAGGUUUUAGACAUUUAAUUGUGAAAAUAGUCUAUGAAAUCUGAAAUAUAUCAUAUAAUAUAAUUUAUUUUUAUCUAUGUGUAAACUUGUGACAAUGCUUUAAAAUAGUAUAUUAUGAUUAAGGAAAGGGCAUUAGUCAAUUGUUUUUUUUGGGUAAAGUUUCGAAAUAUUUGCUGAGAAAUCAGCCACUUUUAAACUUCUGUAAUGCAGUUUUCUUAUAAAAUGUUAAGUAGGCUUAAGAUCUUACAUAUGCUAUCCCAGUAGGGUUUUGGGUCAAACAUAGGCUAGAGGCAAUAUUGGCCCAUAUUAGGCUUGUGACCAAUUCUAUGCCAAUUGCAAGCUUGAGGUCCAUCAU
This is a long non-coding RNA of Mytilus trossulus (common blue mussel), 1353 nucleotides long. RefSeq lists it as uncharacterized. Lineage: Eukaryota; Metazoa; Mollusca; Bivalvia; Mytilida; Mytilidae. The record is from RefSeq and is a predicted model, not a curated record. The transcript is spliced from 4 exons.